ACGCUCGACACCUACGGAGGCAGCAGUAGGGAAUCUUCCGCAAUGGACGAAAGUCUGACGGAGCAACGCCGCGUGAACGAUGAAGGUUUUCGGAUCGUAAAGUUCUGUUGUUAGGGAAGAACAAACUUCGUUUGAAUAAGGCGGAGUCAUGACGGUACCUAACGAGAAAGCCACGGCUAACUACGUGUCAGCGGCCGCGGUAAUCUGAGCGGGCUGGCAAGGC
Molecule: ribosomal RNA, 223 nt
Filed under: uncultured bacterium
Lineage: Bacteria
Description: partial 16S ribosomal RNA
Rfam family: Bacterial small subunit ribosomal RNA
Source: RNAcentral